Molecule: non-coding RNA, 2559 nt
Organism: Tinamus guttatus (white-throated tinamou)
Lineage: Eukaryota; Metazoa; Chordata; Aves; Tinamiformes; Tinamidae
Source: RefSeq, a predicted model, not a curated record
AUGAGGAAGCAGGUGUGCUGCACAAACCGCAGCAGCAUCUGCACGGGAGGAGAGAACACAGGCCUGUUUAACGAGCGAGCGAGCUGCCUGGACGCGCGGGACGUGGAAGCCAGGUAUCCCGAAUCCUGCGUUUAUGACUUCCUGUUUGCAGGCGAGUUGCCAAAGGGGCUUUCACCUCUGCUGUUUGACCACAGGACUAGAGUGAAAUUGGAAAGCCUAGAAGAUGCUUAUAUUUUAAGAGGAAAUGAUGACUCUCUUUCUGAUAAGCAUGGAUGCCCAGCCUAUGUGAGUCCAGAGAUCUUGAACACAAAUGGCAGCUACUCUGGCAAAGCAGCGGACGUAUGGAGUCUAGGUGUCAUGCUUUAUACCAUGCUUGUUGGACGCUAUCCUUUUCAUGACAUUGAGCCUAGUUCCCUCUUCAGCAAGAUCCGUCGUGGGCAAUUUAACAUUCCAGAAACUCUGUCCCCCAAGGCAAAAUGCCUCAUACGUAGCAUACUGCGUCGGGAGCCAUCAGAAAGGCUGACUUCACAGGAAAUUCUGGACCAUCCAUGGUUUUCUACAGAUUUUAAUGUAUCAAAUUCAGGAUAUGGUGCUAAGGAAGUAUCAGAUCAGCUGGUGCCUGAUGUCAACAUGGAAGAAGACUUGGACCCAUUCUUUAACUGAGCACAAAGACUGGUGUUCAGAAGGUACACAACCUGGAGAUGGACACAUGAAGGAGCCCUUCCUGACCGUGUUAAAUCACAUCCUGCAUCAGCCUAGCUUGGUAGCAAAAGACACUUGGAGAUCCUUGGAUUGAGAAGGAAUCUCCACAAGGAGCUAAUAUAACAAAUGUAGCAUGGGGACAGAUUGGGGGGGAGGGAGGGGAGCUUGCUAUCAGGUUAGAUUGAUUUGGAGGAAAAAAAAGGCAGCAUGGAGCAAUUGUAGCUUCUCACCUUUCUGGAGCCAAGGAGACUGCACAUGCCAAUUCUGGUGCAGCUAUGUCACUCCUGUUUCUGUUCCAUUAAAAAUAGUUGUAAUUCACAACAAAUAGAAACUUCUUUGCCUCAACUCACAUCUUGGCAUCGCACUGUUAGAUAUUUAACUUCAGCCAUUAUUCAGGGAAAGUACAAUUGGCUAACAUUUUUUUAAUCGGAGGUCUAAUAAUUAAUGGGUUUAAUUUAAGAAAAAAUUAGGUGCACAAAACGGACAUGAAAAGUGGGUGCUAAAAAUAAAGAAAAUUUCAGUUCAUGUCUCUUGAUAGCUAUUUUCAACUCAUUUCUUCUAAAUAAACUACUUAAUAUUCUUGUCAGGAAAUGACAUUUUAAUGCUUUGUUCCCUUAAGGGGAAGUAACUGUCAUUUAACAAGCUGUUCUGUUUUGUGUCAAAUGGUUUGUUGCAGGAAGCUAUUAUAACUCAAACUUCCAGAUGCAUUACUGCUAUAAUAGAAAAAAAGAAAAAAAAUUAUAUAAUUUUUUUUUAAGAUACAAGAUACUGGCUUCCAUAUCUGCCAUGCUGCACGUAUAUGACUAGAGAGGGCAGAAAGCCCUUAAUCAUGUCUUUAUCUGAGAACCGAUCUCUUCUUUAACUGACUUGCCCACAUGUAAAUAGAGGGCUCUUUAUUAUUGAAGAAGAGUAUUGUAUUUUUUUUUCUUUGAAUUCCUCUCAACUUGGGAAAAGAAUUGUUUGGAUUUGAUUUUUGUUUAUGUCCAGAAUAAGAAAUAAGAGGGUAUUAAUAAGCUGAACAUUUAUAUUACAGAUAUUCCUCUUGAAACAUACACAGUAAUAUGCACCUUUUGUAUUGUCAAGACUUAUUCUAUUUAUUGAAGAAAAUGUCACAGUAGUGAUGUAUUAAGCCAGUACUUCAAUUACGGGUUGACUUGGGAUGACAUGUUACAUGCUGUAGUUAACACACUUCUUUUCUGUUCAGGUAUUUCUGUCCCUAAAUAACUUUUUAUUUAGCUUUUUUUUUUUUUCUAGAUAGCUUUAUUUGAUUUAGACUGGCAAAUGUUUUUAUUACUGCUUUUAUAUUGCUGUAUGAUAUUGAAAUCUCUUGGCAUAAAUAUUUGUGUUUCCAGUACCUCAGUUGUUCUGAUAUUACUGCCUGUAUACGUUUUGUGAAGUGGUCAUGUUUUUUGGGUAGGUACACGUGGACUCUGUAGUAUGUAAAUGUUACUUGAAUUUGUGCUUAAUUAUAGUAUGUGGCAUGUGCGUACAGCUACUUGGCAUUUGACGUAUGGAUGCUAUUUGCCUGCUCUGCAGGAAAGUUAUGGUCCCACUCUCAAGAGGAUGUUUCACAGUUCUUUAUCAAGAGACAAAGCUAGCUGCAGCUGACCUGCCUUGGUUCUAUUUUGGUAACUAAGAAUAAAAAGGAGUAAUGUUUUUACACUCUGAAGAUGGUGCUGUGUCAAGAAGGACUUUUUUUUUUUUUUUUUUUUUUUUUAAAGAAAAAGUACCUUAUAGGAGGAAAGAUUGGUGAUGUGCAUGGUGGGGUUUUACUGCCUCUGGUGCUUUGUCAUGUAUUUGGUUUAAUGUUUUUGUCCUAAUCUCUUCAAUAAAUAAAAUUGUGCAUAUUUAACUAAA